GUGGGGAAUAUUGGACAAUGGGGGGAACCCUGAUCCAGCCAUGCCGCGUGUGUGAAGAAGGCCUUUUGGUUGUAAAGCACUUUAAGCGAGGAGGAGGCUACCGAGAUUAAUACUCUUGGAUAGUGGACGUUACUCGCAGAAUAAGCACCGGCUAACUCUGUGCCAGCAGCCGCGGUAAUACAGAGGGUGCAAGCGUUAAUCGGAUUUACUGGGCGUAAAGCGCGCGUAGGUGGCCAAGUAAGUCAAAUGUGAAAUCCCCGAGCUUAACUUGGGAAUUGCAUUCGAGACUGGUUGGCUAGAGUAUGGGAGAGGAUGGUAGAAUUCCAGGUGUAGCGGUGAAAUGCGUAGAGAUCUGGAGGAAUACCGAUGGCGAAGGCAGCCAUCUGGCCUAAUACUGACACUGAGGUGCGAAAGCAUGGGGAGCAAACAGGAUUAGAUACCCUGGUAGUCC
RNAcentral lists this ribosomal RNA (451 nucleotides) under uncultured bacterium. RNAcentral describes it as "bacterial SSU rRNA". It matches the Rfam family "Bacterial small subunit ribosomal RNA", at positions 354 to 796 of the family's 1533-position model. The record is from RNAcentral.